Molecule: ribosomal RNA, 352 nt
Filed under: uncultured bacterium
Lineage: Bacteria
Description: bacterial SSU rRNA
Rfam family: Bacterial small subunit ribosomal RNA
Source: RNAcentral
AGAGUUUGAUCAUGGCUCAGGAUGAACGCUAGCUACAGGCUUAACACAUGCAAGUCGAGGGGAAACGACAUCGAAAGCUUGCUUUUGAUGGGCGUCGACCGGCGCACGGGUGAGUAACGCGUAUCCAACCUGCCCACCACUUGGGGAUAACCUUGCGAAAGUAAGACUAAUACCCAAUGACGUCUCUAGAAGACAUCUGAAGGAGAUUAAAGAUUUAUCGGUGAUGGAUGGGGAUGCGUCUGAUUAGCUUGUUGGCGGGGUAACGGCCCACAAGGCGACGAUCAGUAGGGGUUCUGAGAGGAAGGUCCCCCANAUUGGAACUGAGACACGGUCCAAACUCCGUACGGAGGCA